RNAcentral lists this ribosomal RNA (301 nucleotides) under uncultured bacterium. RNAcentral describes it as "partial 16S ribosomal RNA". It matches the Rfam family "Bacterial small subunit ribosomal RNA", at positions 509 to 807 of the family's 1533-position model. The record is from RNAcentral.
CAGCCGCCGCGGUAAUACGGAGGGUGCAAGCGUUAAUCGGAUUUACUGGGCGUAAAGGGCGCGUAGGUGGUUAUGUAAGUGAGAUGUGAAAUCCCCGGGCUCAACCUGGGAACUGCAUCUUAUACUGCGUAGCUGGAGUGCAGUAGAGGGUAGUGGAAUUUCCGGUGUAGCGGUGAAAUGCGUAGAUAUCGGAAGGAACACCAGUGGCGAAGGCGGCUACCUGGACUGACACUGACACUGAGGCGCGAAAGCGUGGGGAGCAAACAGGAUUAGAUACCCCCGUAGUCCCUGUCUCUUAUAC